RNAcentral lists this transfer RNA (65 nucleotides) under Somanniathelphusa boyangensis. RNAcentral's name for it is "tRNA-Cys". It matches the Rfam family "tRNA". From Rfam's summary of the family: Transfer RNA (tRNA) molecules are approximately 80 nucleotides in length. Their secondary structure includes four short double-helical elements and three loops (D, anti-codon, and T loops). RNAcentral also lists the same sequence under 1 other name. The record is from RNAcentral. Lineage: Eukaryota; Metazoa; Arthropoda; Malacostraca; Decapoda; Parathelphusidae.
GGCUUUAUAGUAAAAUAAUAAUAUUAGAUUGCAAAUCUGAAGAUGUGUUGAAAACACUAAAGUUU